This 554-nucleotide ribosomal RNA is filed under the name Trichoderma sp. MS365. RNAcentral's name for it is "eukaryotic LSU rRNA". The stretch from base 201 to 354 matches the Rfam family "5.8S ribosomal RNA". Lineage: Eukaryota; Fungi; Ascomycota; Sordariomycetes; Hypocreales; Hypocreaceae. The record is from RNAcentral.
UACCGAGUUUACAACUCCCAAACCCAAUGUGAACGUUACCAAACUGUUGCCUCGGCGGGAUCUCUGCCCCGGGUGCGUCGCAGCCCCGGACCAAGGCGCCCGCCGGAGGACCAACCAAAAACUCUUUUGUAUACCCCCUCGCGGGUUUUUAUAUCUGAGCCAUCUCGGCGCCUCUCGUAGGCGUUUCGAAAAUGAAUCAAAACUUUCAACAACGGAUCUCUUGGUUCUGGCAUCGAUGAAGAACGCAGCGAAAUGCGAUAAGUAAUGUGAAUUGCAGAAUUCAGUGAAUCAUCGAAUCUUUGAACGCACAUUGCGCCCGCCAGUAUUCUGGCGGGCAUGCCUGUCCGAGCGUCAUUUCAACCCUCGAACCCCUCCGGGGGGUCGGCGUUGGGGAUCGGCCCUUUACGGGGCCGGCCCCGAAAUACAGUGGCGGUCUCGCCGCAGCCUCUCCUGCGCAGUAGUUUGCACACUCGCAUCGGGAGCGCGGCGCGUCCAUUGCCGUAAAACACCCAACUUUCUGAAAUGUUGACCUCGGAUCAGGUAGGAAUACCCGC